AUGGAUUCUCAUACCGGCGAGUUGUAGCCCUUCGGUCCUCACUUCUCUUCCCCACUUUUUUGCCUGUUCCUUGAGAGAAGACUUUGGCCAACGUUCAACAAAUGCACCAACUUAACUGGGAAGAACAGAAGCUGUGAUGACUCCCAUGGGGGCCAUGGAGGAGGAUUCUUCAGAUGAAGACCGAGAGCAGAGGGAGCAGGCUGAAGCUCCGUCCGGCUCAACAGAGCCAGAGCUGACAGGCUUGCAGGCCCCUCUGCCUGCUUCCCUCCUUCCUCCUGAUGAAACCUCCAAAGCUGCUGAAGGCGAGGUGCCUGUCCCAGAUCCCCAACAAUGACAUUUGGCCAGAGUACAGGCUCAGGGGGAGAAACGCCGUAGGUCAGAGAGGCUAGCCAGAAGGAACAGGUGACCCAGCUCUGGCCCGGCUGUAUCUCUUUGAUAAGACUCAGCUGCAGUGAUGGGUGGGACUCUCAGCACUCUGCCUAUUUAGAGCAGCCUGGAAGCUGGGUCUGUGCUGGAAACAACGUCCGUAGUGACCAGCCCCACCAUGAGCAACCUUGACUCUGUUUCGUGUGUACCCCUGAUCCUAUAGACUGCCCGGUUUAGACCUCUGGCAACAUUUGUGACUCUCCAAUCGUCUGUCCUCUGGUGUUGACUCCUGUCUGCAUCUGGCUUUCCGUUCCUGUCUCUCCUUUCUGUCUCUCUUUUCCUCUCCGAAAAGAGUGGUUUUUGCAGCUGCUGGGCAGUCGGCCAAGGCAGGUCAUUACAGAAGCACUCAAUGCAAACUAGAAAUAGGUACCUGAGAGCUGCAUGACCCUCAGGGACCUAUUUCCAAGUCACAUCAAAUGCUUCUCAGGGAAAGGGAGACUGGUGAAAAUCCCCUCCACAAGUGCACUUAGCAGCAGUGUCUGCACAGCACCAGUGCUUCUCGUGAAAUGCUGCUGCUUCAUUAGUCUGUAUUUCAGUCAUUGAACUCAUGUACAAUUAUUCAUGUUAUUUUGUACUCACAUAUACUGCCUAAUUGUACCAUGUAUUUGAGAGAUUGUACCCAGUGAAGCUGAAUUUGUGUAAAUCCUCAAUUAGUUAUCUUCUACUAAUUGUGCUGAUUGAAGUUGUUGCCUGCUGAGGAAGUAGCAUUCACCGUAUGCUCAGAGAUACGUUACCAGAUUAUUCUUAAACACUGCUGUAACACGAAUCCCCAGCUUUUGCUGUUGCCCAGCAGCCUACACAUAUAGUGGAUUGGAGCACGGAGGACCUAGCCAAAUUGUGUUUCUAUGGUUAUGAUUUUGUAAGUUAGUACAAUAUCUCAGAAUGGACAUCAGGUCUCAUGCCCCAUGCUGUGAUAUCACCGGCCAUUAGAUUCCCUCACUUUUUGGAGUUCAGUUGAAGCUGCCGCACUCAUAACAAUCCAUAUAAAUCAACAUUUCCCCCCCAUUCAUUCACAGUCUCCAUACAUACAAGACAAAAAAAAGAAAAGGAGGCAAAGGGAUCUCAAACGUGCAUAUUGGGAGUUCCUAGAAACAGGCAUAUAAGAUGUGCAUGUAUGUUGGUAAUGGGAUACAAUGAAAAAGCAGAGGAAAUUUUGUUGUAUGAGACAGGAAGAGAUAUGUGUUCCUGACUGUUUAACCAUGAUUACAUAAGAGAUUGGGAGAAAACUAGA
Hemicordylus capensis (graceful crag lizard) is the source of this 1657-nucleotide long non-coding RNA. RefSeq lists it as uncharacterized. NCBI's taxonomy places the organism in Eukaryota, Metazoa, Chordata, Lepidosauria, Squamata, Cordylidae. The transcript is spliced from 2 exons. The record is from RefSeq and is a predicted model, not a curated record.